UUAAGCACUUUCAGAAUCCUCUUGGCAGGACCAUCUUGUGCUCUGGUUCCUGUUUCCUGGAUCCUAUUCUGGGCCAGGCCGCUGGCGACCGUCUUGGAGUGGAUGAACCUCACGAGUUGGGAAACGUCUGACCCCGGGUGAGCUGGGGUGCACGUCACCCGUGACCCUGGGGGCUCCCGGCACCCCCAUCUCGGUGAGGAAUGCGACGGAGGUCACACCGAAGAGAAUGCACACGUGAUACCUGCAAGGGUUCACUUCCCAUUCGAGGUGCUGCUUCAUUGCCUAGAAUGUGGGAUAGUUUGAGAGGGCUGAGGAAAUUCUGAUCGCCUUUGGAGCAGCUGAGAAUAUUGACAGGAAGCUUGUGUUUACAAUCCUGCUCUGUGGUUUCUCUUGGGUUCAGCCCACGUUCGGAACAUUGGUGGCAGUGUUUAGGGAGGAGAGUGAAUGGCUGGAUGGAGAGGAUGCAAAGAUGCUCAGAUGGUGAAGUAAACAGCUUUUACUCUGUGCCUUUGUGAUGGCUUGCUUUUUAUUGAAGUGUAGUUGAUUUACAAGAUUGUGUUAGUUUCAAGUGUA
This is a long non-coding RNA of Balaenoptera musculus (blue whale), 573 nucleotides long. RefSeq lists it as uncharacterized. The record is from RefSeq and is a predicted model, not a curated record. NCBI's taxonomy places the organism in Eukaryota, Metazoa, Chordata, Mammalia, Artiodactyla, Balaenopteridae. The transcript has 4 exons.